UGUAUAUGUAUAAUUAUAAUUGAAUAUCAGACUAAGUUCCUUUCCGCCAGUGAUCACUCUACUUACAAUCUUAUAAUACUAACACAAAGUUGAUUGAUAUUUAUUUAAAAAUCGAUAUCUUAUUUUUCACAUAAUACGUAUAAAUAAUCGGUAUUUAUAAGUCAUUUCAUAAAAGUCUUAUACUCCGUUGAAAUCAUUGUAAAUAUGGAGAAGGCUUUCGUACUUUUCACGCUUUUUGUAGCGGUUCUCGCCGUGACUUCGACGGCGAUAUCCGCUGAACCAGAACCAUCUUUUCUUGGACGAUUUACUCGUGGUAGCUGCAAUAAUGGGGAGUGUCACCAGCGCUGUCGAAGCAUCAUGUUUCCCGGAGGAGCCUGUAACGGAAAUACAUGUGAAUGUGAUAUUCUUUGAAAAAAAAAAGAUUUUUAUUAAUAACAAUGAUUAUUACUUUUAAAUGAUUGACGCAAUAAAAUAAAGUUGCAAUACAUAA
This is a long non-coding RNA of Vanessa atalanta (red admiral), 490 nucleotides long. RefSeq lists it as uncharacterized. The record is from RefSeq and is a predicted model, not a curated record. Lineage: Eukaryota; Metazoa; Arthropoda; Insecta; Lepidoptera; Nymphalidae. The transcript has 2 exons.